This 468-nucleotide ribosomal RNA is filed under the name uncultured bacterium. Its description in RNAcentral is "partial 16S ribosomal RNA". It matches the Rfam family "Bacterial small subunit ribosomal RNA", at positions 28 to 507 of the family's 1533-position model. The record is from RNAcentral.
GACGAACGCUAGCGGCGUGCUUAACACAUGCAAGUCGAACGGAAAGGCCCUGCUUUUGUGGGGUGCUCGAGUGGCGAACGGGUGAGUAACACGUGAGUAACCUGCCCUUGACUUUGGGAUAACUUCAGGAAACUGGGGCUAAUACCGGAUAGGAGCUCCUGCUGCAUGGUGGGGGUUGGAAAGUUUCGGCGGUUGGGGAUGGACUCGCGGCUUAUCAGCUUGUUGGUGGGGUAGUGGCUUACCAAGGCUUUGACGGGUAGCCGGCCUGAAAGGGUGACCGGCCACAUUGGGACUGAGAUACGGCCCAGACUCCUACGGGAGGCAGCAGUGGGGAAUAUUGCACAAUGGGCGGAAGCCUGAUGCAGCAACGCCGCGUGCGGGAUGACGGCCUUCGGGUUGUAAACCGCUUUCGCCUGUGACGAAGCGUGAGUGACGGUAAUGGGUAAAGAAGCACCGGCUAACUACGUG